UGGCAAUGCGGCUCCCAACAGCGGUGGUACUGUUUCUGGGUGCAGCCCCUGCUCUCUUCUUCAGCCAGCAGUCCUUAAAUGAGUCUUUCAGUGACACCAGAGCAGUUGAACCAUGUGAGUGUACAUUAUAUGCUAUAUCACAUCAAACUUUAUUUGUCACAUGCGCUGAAUACAAGUGUAGACCUUACCGUGAAAUGCUUACUUACAAGCCCUUAACCAACAGUGCAGUUCAAGAAGAGUUAAGAAAAUAUUUACCAAAUAAACAAAGUAAAAAAUAAUACAAAGUAACACAAUAACGAGGCUAUAUACAGGGGGUACCGGUACCGAGUCAGUGUGUGGGGGUACAGGUUAGAGGUCAUUUGAGAUGUAUCCUUCAUGGUUUAGUGUAAGUCAAUCUAAUAUUGGACUAUUGAGCGUGGACAAAGCCAUUUCUGUCACUUUUGUGGUAGUUUAGGAUUUUAGUGAUUGACUUGUUAUCCAAAUGAACCACAUUUGCCCCUAUUCCACAGCUCACUGCUCACAGGGAUUCGUGGUUGACAAAGCCUUUCCUUGGAACGACAUUCUGAUGGUGUAUGAACGGGACCUAUAUCAUUGCCAGCUUGCCUGCACUCAGAACCCCGGGUGUUCCUACUUCAGCUACGUGGUUCAAGAGUAUAAUCUAUUUGAGUAUUUGGGUUGUCUGUUUGGGUGGUGGUCAAACCACUUGUUUUGUUAAAUAGUUAAUGGGUGGGGCUAGAGAAAUGUCACUGCUGUCAAAUGCAGAGCUAUGGAUUCAAGGACUGACUAUUCACGAGAUCAAAAUUAUAUACAGUAUUUGUUCACAAUUACAUUGUUUACAAAACAUGAUUGUAGAACAGAGGCAUGACAGAAGAAUUCCAUCAGUAUGACUUUUACUUUCAAACCAGAUUCCGAUGCUAUCAAAAGUACUCAGAUGAUCAACCAACUACAAAAGACAAUCCAGCAGUCAUAUCUGGUUACACAAGGAAUGGGUGCAGGGAAGGCCCACCAGUAGAGAUACCAGUGUUUACUUUGGUUAGCGAGGGGAGGAGCAUGGAUGAAGCCCAGAAGUUCUGCAGGGAGUACUAUGAGGAACUGGCCACCAUCUUCAAUGCUGAGGACCAGACAGCAGCUCUGAGAGCAGUGUCAGCACAGAGCCUCACUGACGCAGUCUGGGUCCACUCCCAAUACCAUGCCUUUUGGCCCCAACUGGCCUAUUGGAAUACACCAAAUGCAAAGUGUGUUGUUCAUGGACAUAAAGCAAAAGUUUGGAUUUUGAGAUAUUGCACAAUUUCAUGUCACUUUGUGUGCCAGAAAAGUAAGUUGAUUUUGCAUCCCUUCUCUCCCUUGUCUGAUAUUUGUAAACUACUACAUCAAAGUAACGUUAAUACUUUACUUGAAGGGGGUUAUUCAUUCUUAACACCUUGGUACAGUACAUAG
Molecule: long non-coding RNA, 1437 nt
Filed under: Oncorhynchus mykiss (rainbow trout)
Lineage: Eukaryota; Metazoa; Chordata; Actinopteri; Salmoniformes; Salmonidae
Description: lncRNA (ENSOMYG00000076693.1)
Source: RNAcentral